Molecule: long non-coding RNA, 1609 nt
Filed under: Capsella grandiflora
Lineage: Eukaryota; Viridiplantae; Streptophyta; Magnoliopsida; Brassicales; Brassicaceae
Description: long non-coding RNA (CGRA_LNC000601)
Source: RNAcentral
UUAAUGUAAGCUGUAAACCCAGUUCUGGAAGAGGUUAUUAAGUAUCCAACCUACUGGAAUUGGUAUGAAGUCAGAAAUGUUUCUAUAAUUCUUUAUUAUUUUAGUGUUUUUAUUCCAAGGUUGGUAGACAAAAUGGCUAGUGGUAAUCUUAGGCAUGUCUUUUUUAUUUUGUUAAUGCAGAUUCCUUUAAUUGUAGUAGUCCUAACAGAUGAGAAAAUGACAGCAGAAGGACGUAAAGAUCUUUAUAGUUGGAUGACAAAAUAACUUGGGGGAUUAAGCGACUCUGUGGAUGCUAUAUAUACAUCUACUAAAACCUGCAAGCAAUGAUGGUGACUCAUUUAAGAUUCUCAUCAGGUUCAAGUAAUUACAUAUGUUUGUAAUGACUUUAUAUAUUUAUACUGCUAUGAAUCUUUUCAGGUUCAAAUCAAUAGUCAAUAGAUAUGCGAGAAACAAGUGAAUGAUGAAUUUCUGAGAGAUUGAGAGUUAGUGGACUAGAAACGGUACGUAUCAUGUAGUAUUAGCUUGUUCUAUUUAUGGCUAGAAGCCUAGAAUCUAAAUGGUCCUGUACAUUUGUUCUCAGAUUGAGAAGAACUUCAAAAGAUAUUCAAGGCCUACACUAGUUCUUAUUCUUUAAAAGGUAAGACCAGAGUUUGUUCAAGGUACCUGCUUGUCUGAUUAACAUGUUCUCUCCUCUCGGUUUCCUUUUUCUGCCCAUGCUAACAAUUUGUUACCAGAACCAUAGAUUCUUGUAAUGAUUUUGUGCUGUAAUCUAGUACAGCUGCCACCUGAGAUGCUACACCCAAACUAUUGGGUGCUUUACACAAGAGUUUUUUGCUAAGGUGGUACAAUUUUCUUUAAUACUUCUACUUUGUCUACCUUGUGUUUGUUAGAAAACAUAUUAAUAACCAAGUUUAACUGUUUUAUUUCUGUUUGCAGACGUCCAAAGGAUUUAGUAAUCCUGCACUACUAAGUACGCUUGAUGCUGAAUAUGAGAAAAUCACCUUUUCAGGUACAAUUUUGUGUGGAUGGUUGUUAUUUUUGGAUUUCUUGUUUCUCUUGUUGUACUUAUAUUCUGCUCAUUAGGGGACUUCGACUUCCAAGAGAGUUGCUAAGAGCUAGAAAAGAUAUGAGUAGCAAGAUUACCCCCAUCUUUUUAAGAGCUUUGAAACUCAUGACUGGAAGGUGCUUACAUAUUGGAAAUCUUCUUCGUUAUGUAAACCUAACAAUACGUUUUGUUGAAAUUUAUAGUAAGCUUUAAAAUUGGAACUGAGUCUUUUCUACUUUUGUAGAAGCGUUUGGAGUCAAUGGAAAAGCUGUAAACCAACUUCUAGAAGAGGUUAUUAAACAUAGCCAACCAAAUGGAAUUGGUAUGAAGUCAAAAUCUCUUAUAUAAUUCUAAUAUAUGAGUGUUUUUAUUCCGUAGUUGCUAAACAUGUCCUUUUUAUUAUGUUAAUGCAUAUUCCUUAAAUUGUAAUAGCCCUAACAGAUGAGAAAAUGACAACAGAAGGACGUAAAGAUCUUUAUCGUUGCAUGAAAAAAUAGCUUGGUGGAUUAAGCGACUAUGUGGAUGCUAUAUAUACAUCCACUCAAACCUGCAAACAAUGAUGGU